Molecule: ribosomal RNA, 406 nt
Filed under: uncultured bacterium
Lineage: Bacteria
Description: partial 16S ribosomal RNA
Rfam family: Bacterial small subunit ribosomal RNA
Source: RNAcentral
AUUGAACGCUGGCGGCAGGCCUAACACAUGCAAGUCGAACGAGUGGCGGACGGGUGAGUAAUGUCUGGGAAACUGCCUGAUGGAGGGGGAUAACUACUGGAAACGGUAGCUAAUACCGCAUACCAUCGGAUGUGCCCAGAUGGGAUUAGCUAGUAGGUGGGGUAAAGGCUCACCUAGGCGACGAUCCCUAGCUGGUCUGAGAGGAUGACCAGCCAAACUGGACCUGAGACCCGGUCCAGACUCCUCGGGGAGGAGGCAGGGGGGAAUAUUCGCAAAUGGGCGAAAUCCUGCUGCGCCAAUGCGGCGUGUUUGAGGAAGGCCUCCGGGUUGUAAAGUCCUUUAAUCGGGGCGGCGGUACCCGAAGAGGAAGCCACGGCUAACUACGUGCCAGCAGCCGCGGUAAUAC